This 802-nucleotide ribosomal RNA is filed under the name uncultured bacterium. RNAcentral describes it as "bacterial SSU rRNA". It matches the Rfam family "Bacterial small subunit ribosomal RNA", at positions 534 to 1334 of the family's 1533-position model. The record is from RNAcentral.
GCGAGCGUAGUCCGGAAUUACUGGGCGUAAAGAGCUCGUAGGUGGUUUGUCGCGUAGUUCGUGAAAUCUCACGGCUUAACUGUGAGCGUGCGGGCGAUACGGGCAGACUUGAGUACUGCAGGGGAGACUGGAACUCCUGGUGUAGCGGUGGAAUGCGCAGAUAUCAGGAGGAACACCGGUGGCGAAGGCGGGUCUCUGGGCAGUAACUGACGCUGAGGAGCGAAAGCGUGGGGAGCGAACAGGAUUAGAUACCCUGGUAGUCCACGCCGUAAACGGUGGGUACUAGGUGUGGGUUUCCUUCCUUGGGAUCCGUGCCGUAGCUAGCGCAUUAAGUACCCCGCCUGGGGAGUACGGCCGCAAGGCUAAAACUCAAAGAAAUUGACGGGGGCCCGCACAAGCGGCGGAGCAUGUGGAUUAAUUCGAUGCAACGCGAAGAACCUUACCUGGGUUUGACAUGCACAGGACGCCGGCAGAGAUGUCGGUUCCCUUGUGGCCUGUGUGCAGGUGGUGCAUGGCUGUCGUCAGCUCGUGUCGUGAGAUGUUGGGUUAAGUCCCGCAACGAGCGCAACCCUUGUCUCAUGUUGCCAGCGGGUAAUGCCGGGGACUCGUGAGAGACUGCCGGGGUCAACUCGGAGGAAGGUGGGGAUGACGCCAAGUCAUCAUGCCCCUUAUGUCCAGGGCUUCACACAUGCUACAAUGGCCGGUACAAAGGGCUGCGAUGCCGCGAGGUUAAGCGAAUCCUUUUAAAGCCGGUCUCAGUUCGGAUCGGGGUCUGCAACUCGACCCCGUGAAGUCGGAGUCG